RNAcentral lists this ribosomal RNA (596 nucleotides) under uncultured bacterium. RNAcentral's name for it is "bacterial SSU rRNA". It matches the Rfam family "Bacterial small subunit ribosomal RNA", at positions 893 to 1488 of the family's 1533-position model. The record is from RNAcentral.
GUUAAAACUCAAAGGAAUUGACGGGGACCCGCACAAGCGGUGGAUGAUGUGGAUUAAUUCGAUGCAACGCGAAAAACCUUACCUACCCUUGACAUGUCCAGAAGCCCGAAGAGAUUUGGGUGUGCCCGAAAGGGAGCUGGAACACAGGUGCUGCAUGGCUGUCGUCAGCUCGUGUCGUGAGAUGUUGGGUUAAGUCCCGCAACGAGCGCAACCCUUGUCGUUAAUUGCCAUCAUUUAGUUGGGCACUUUAACGAGACUGCCGGUGACAAACCGGAGGAAGGUGGGGAUGACGUCAAGUCCUCAUGGCCCUUAUGGGUAGGGCUUCACACGUCAUACAAUGGUCGGUACAGAGGGUUGCCAAGCCGCGAGGUGGAGCCAAUCCCAGAAAGCCGAUCGUAGUCCGGAUUGCAGGCUGCAACUCGCCUGCAUGAAGUCGGAAUCGCUAGUAAUCGCGGAUCAGCAUGUCGCGGUGAAUACGUUCCCGGGUCUUGUACACACCGCCCGUCACACCAUGGGAGCGGGUUCCGCCAGAAGUAGGUAGCCUAACCGCAAGGGGGGCGCUUACCACGGCGGGGUUCGUGACUGGGGUGAAGUCG